Erigeron canadensis is the source of this 370-nucleotide long non-coding RNA. RefSeq lists it as uncharacterized. The transcript has 3 exons. The record is from RefSeq and is a predicted model, not a curated record. Lineage: Eukaryota; Viridiplantae; Streptophyta; Magnoliopsida; Asterales; Asteraceae.
GCUAGGAGCUCACGGCGGCGACGGCGAUGGAAACGAUCCGCACCGAUCGUGGUGGAAGAAAAUAACAGGCUGCAAAAACAGCGGGUCGAAGAAAACACCACCACCACCAAGAGGGGCAGCCAAACAUCUAAAUCUUGAGGCUGCCUUCAAGAAAAAUGGAGGCCCAUUACCCAUGUACUUCGAUUACAAAUCAAAGACCUUUCAAUCGAUCGGGGACUACGGGGCUAUGUACAAAUCUUUGUUAGGCUCAUUGAUCGGAGAUGUCCCCCAGUACUACGAGUCAUGGGACGAUGUGCCUGAGUCUCUGAGGGACAAUAUCUUGGAGGAAAUACAGCGCUGGUUUGCGAUGGACCAGUACUUAGAGCUUGAU